GUUAAGGUGGCAGAGCCCGGCAAAUGCAAAAGUCCUAAGCUCUUUCGAUCAGGGGUUCAAAUCCUCUCCUUAACU
Molecule: transfer RNA, 75 nt
Filed under: Labracinus cyclophthalmus (fire-tail devil)
Lineage: Eukaryota; Metazoa; Chordata; Actinopteri; Pseudochromidae
Description: tRNA-Leu (UUR)
Rfam family: tRNA
About the family: Transfer RNA (tRNA) molecules are approximately 80 nucleotides in length. Their secondary structure includes four short double-helical elements and three loops (D, anti-codon, and T loops).
Source: RNAcentral